AAAUCAUAGACUGAAAAGUGUAGGCUUUAAUUUUUCUUUUCGGCCUAAUUUGCAACUUCAAGUGUAUUAUUGGUUUAGUUCUUUAGAUCUACGUAAUAGAUGUUUUACUGAUACAUUCCGUUCACCAAACAUGCAUGCAAUUGGGAGUACGUUGCAUUCCUUGGUUUGGCAACUGGAUUGAUUAAUGUUUUUGUAUUCCUUUGUUUGUUUUUAAUGGUAGGAUUUUGGAAUUUGGAGAAAUAACUUUAGUGGUCUAGUGUUAAAAUUUAUUUAGUCAGGGGAAAAGAGUAGAAUUUAUUGUAAAUUGGCUCUGCAUUAAGCUGGAACGAAGCUAGAUUGGGUGGAUAGAAAUUAUUUCUUUGGAUUUGGUUGUUGUUGUUUAAGAACUAUAUUUUUGAAUGUGAGAAUGAAUUUGACAGUGGAAACAAUUAGAGAACUAGGGCCAACUAUGAUAUGGUCCAUAUGGAAUCUCAUUCAGCAUGCUAAGUGAAUGAUCAGAAGGCUGGACUCACCUUGAACGUGGAAUCUCAUCCAGUUCUUUAGUCAUGUACAGGAAUAUGACAUCUGUGUGUCAGUAACAUUCAAUGGAAAUUUCUAUUGUUUACUGUCAACCAGAAGCUACAAUUUUUGUAGUGUAACCCAAUUUUGACUAUUAUAUGCUACAAUUGUAUUAGAACUGCAGAAUAGUACUUUUGAUUACGUCACAUUUAUGGUUCUUCAUCAGCUAUCGUUGAAUGAAAAUUUCAGCCUGAAAUGAAUACAUAAUAAGUGUUUCACAAAAGUUGAAAGAGAGGCCUGUACCUUUUAACAGACUCAGAGCAGUUAGUUAGGGGAAGAGAAUGCACAACUUCAUGUAUGAAUUACAUGUUGAUAUGCCCAUGUAGAAGUCUCCUUGUUGAAGAAUUUGCCCUGCUUAUUGUGUUGUAAACUUGUAUCUUGUGUAUUUAAGCCAAGGAUAAAGCAAAACUUGCAAAUUUCAUGUCAUUUGAAUUUUAUUAAUAAAGUUGAAUACUCUAAGUUCUAGCAUUGCAGUUGUGUCAUUCAUAGUUGGGGAGAUUCCAGGUUCUCAUGAUGAAUAAUAAUGCCUUAUAUGAUGGGAGAAUACAUUACAAGGAUAUGCUCUCUUCUUAGAACCAGAGGGAACAUAGAGGAUUUUGAGGUAAGGAUUAGCAUAGUAAUCUUGGGAGGCAUAUUUUGGCCACAUUAUUUUCCGAGCAUAGUAAUCUUGGGAGGCAUAUUUUGGCCACAUUAUUUUCCG
This 1258-nucleotide unclassified non-coding RNA is filed under the name Hevea brasiliensis (rubber tree). The record is from RNAcentral. Lineage: Eukaryota; Viridiplantae; Streptophyta; Magnoliopsida; Malpighiales; Euphorbiaceae.